AGUGAACGCUGGCGGCAGGCCUAAUACAUGCAAGUCGAACGGCAGCACAGCAGAGCUUGCUCUGUGGGUGGCGAGUGGCGGACGGGUGAGGAAUACAUGGGAAUCUGCCCAGUCGUGGGGAUAACGUAGGGAAACUUACGCUAAUACCGCAUGCGCCCUUCGGGGAAAGCCGGGGACCUUCGGGCCUGGCGCGAUUGGAUGAGCCCAUGUCGGAUUAGCUAGUUGGCGGGGUAAUGGCCCACCAAGGCGACGAUCCGUAGCUGGUCUGAGAGGAUGAUCAGCCACACUGGAACUGAGACACGGUCCAGACUCCUACGGGAGGCAGCAGUAGGGAAUAUUGGACAAUGGGCGCAAGCCUGAUCCAGCCCAUGCCGCGUGAGUGAAGAAGGCCCUCGGGUUGUAAAGCUCUUUUGUCCGGAAAGAAAGCGCCGGGUUAAUACCCUAGUGUCCUGACGGUACCGGAAG
Molecule: ribosomal RNA, 465 nt
Filed under: uncultured bacterium
Lineage: Bacteria
Description: bacterial SSU rRNA
Rfam family: Bacterial small subunit ribosomal RNA
Source: RNAcentral